This 458-nucleotide ribosomal RNA is filed under the name Granulicatella elegans. RNAcentral describes it as "bacterial SSU rRNA". It matches the Rfam family "Bacterial small subunit ribosomal RNA", at positions 28 to 467 of the family's 1533-position model. Lineage: Bacteria; Bacillati; Bacillota; Bacilli; Lactobacillales; Carnobacteriaceae. The record is from RNAcentral.
GACGAACGCUGGCGGCGUGCCUAAUACAUGCAAGUCGAACGAGAGCGACCGGUGCUUGCACUGGUCAAUCUAGUGGCGAACGGGUGAGUAACACGUGGGUAACCUGCCCAUCAGAGGGGGAUAACAUUCGGAAACGGAUGCUAAAACCGCAUAGGUUCUUGAGUCGCAUGACUGAAGAAGGAAAAGAGGCUUCGGCUUCUGCUGAUGGAUGGACCCGCGGUGCAUUAGCUAGUUGGUGAGGUAACGGCUCACCAAGGCCGUGAUGCAUAGCCGACCUGAGAGGGUGAUCGGCCACAUUGGGACUGAGACACGGCCCAAACUCCUACGGGAGGCAGCAGUAGGGAAUCUUCCGCAAUGGACGCAAGUCUGACGGAGCAACGCCGCGUGAGUGAAGAAGGAUUUCGGUUCGUAAAACUCUGUUGUUAGAGAGGAACAGCGCAUAGAGUAACUGUUAUGCG